RNAcentral lists this transfer RNA (73 nucleotides) under Acropyga sauteri. Its description in RNAcentral is "tRNA-Glu". Lineage: Eukaryota; Metazoa; Arthropoda; Insecta; Hymenoptera; Formicidae. The record is from RNAcentral.
AUUUAUAUAGUUUAAAAAUUAAAAACAUUAUAUUUUCAUUAUAAAAAAAAUAAAAAAAUUUUAUUUAUAAAUU